This is a long non-coding RNA of Trifolium pratense (red clover), 1248 nucleotides long. RefSeq lists it as uncharacterized. NCBI's taxonomy places the organism in Eukaryota, Viridiplantae, Streptophyta, Magnoliopsida, Fabales, Fabaceae. The transcript has 2 exons. The record is from RefSeq and is a predicted model, not a curated record.
UUUCCCUAUUUAUAAAGGGCAAUAUAGUACAUUUAUUCAUGUUUUAUAUUAAAUAAAAAAAUUAAUUACACUUAACUAAAUUUCUUAAACACUGCGCAAGUAUUUUUUUUUUGCCUAUAAAUGUGACUGAAGGGAGUAUUUUGCUAUGAAUUCUUGUGGGAAUAAUUUAUGAAGGAUUGUUAUUUGUAUUUUUUUUCUUGAUGAAAUGACAAAGUUAUUGAAAACUCACACACACAAAGUGGAGUGAUCUGAGUUUGAAAACCUCGAUCAUGACAUUUGAUGCUAGCAAUUUUGAUAUUUUUAUCAGUUGAGCUAAAAUGUGUUGAUUUUUUUUUUAUUAGUAAAUACAAUCAUGCAUGUGAACAAUAUACAGCUGAAGAAUUAUAAUCCAGUAAAUAGGAUAGGAUACAAUAUUACAACAUGUAAAUCUAUCUUAAUUGUUUGUUGACACCCUUGACCACAACUCGGUAAUCUUCUCAAAAGAAAACAUUUAAAAAUCUAUCUUUAAGAUUUUAAUUUGUCAUAUAAUCUAAUUGCUAUAAAUUCACCUCUUGAGGUUAAUAUGUGGGAGAUUCGGAAGUUGAACUCCGACCUACAUAUAAAAUGCAAUAUCCCUUUUCUAUCACGAGAAUGAUUAUAAAAUAAUGAAAAUUUGUUAAAUAAAUUAUGAAUGGAUUAUUUUGAUUUGUAAAUUUUUAUUUGAUGACCUCCUUAUUAAAGGUGCUAAAGGGACAAAUUAACAAAUUAUUGUACUUAAGGGACGUCUAAUAAUUAUUUAAAAAAAUAAAACAUGAGCUAUAUAAAUAAAUCAAAAAGUAAUAAAAUCAAAUUCUAUUUGAAACAUGCAAAAAGUGGAAAACAUGGAUAAAAUUUUCAAGUUUGUUAAUGUUAUGAUCAUCAUUUUUUUCCUAUUUCUUGCUUCAACGCGAGUUUCAUAUGCUAAUAUUCCAUGUAAAACUGAUCGUGAUUGUCCAGUAGUUUCCGUCAACCAGAUUAGAUCAAAACCUGUAAGAAUGAAAUGUCGUAAAGGUUUUUGUACUUGACAAUCAUAAAGCUCCAAAGAUUAUAGGAUUGUUAGACCCCAAAAGAAUCCACAAAUUCACUACUCCAUGAAUUCUUGUUUAGUUAUUGUGAUCAUCCAUUAAAUGAUUUUUUUUAUAUAAUUUUUUUAAUUUCAGGUACCUUGUAAGAUGAUGCAAAUGAAAUUAAAUAAAGCAUAAAAAAUAUUAUCUAUGGUUUCUUCUUCUA